AGUCCACAUCCCACCUCCUCCCAUCCAGUCGGAUCAAGUCACUUAGCCACCCGGGUAUGCUCUCUUGGGCCUCCACGGCCAUCUCCACAACAGGAGAUCAGGCACCCAAGCAUCAUCUAUAGCUUCAAUCGAUUGUCCAUAAUGGCUCUCGAUUUCAAGUACAAAAAAGAGCUAUGGCUUUGUCACCAUCUCUUAUAUGGCUGCCAUCACUAAUGUUUGAACGUGAGGGAGGUUGGUGCCAACUAUUUGAGCUAUAUAUCAGCU
RNAcentral lists this long non-coding RNA (264 nucleotides) under Elaeis guineensis (African oil palm). RNAcentral describes it as "long non-coding RNA (EGUI_LNC015285)". The record is from RNAcentral. Lineage: Eukaryota; Viridiplantae; Streptophyta; Magnoliopsida; Arecales; Arecaceae.